Molecule: long non-coding RNA, 858 nt
Filed under: Equus asinus (donkey)
Lineage: Eukaryota; Metazoa; Chordata; Mammalia; Perissodactyla; Equidae
Description: lncRNA (ENSEASG00005037617.1)
Source: RNAcentral
UGAUAAACCAGCUAGCAACUAGCUGAGUGGCUCUGGGACAGCUGGUGAAGCAAUUUGUGCUUUAAGCUUCUCAUCUGUAAAAUAAGGGGGCGGUUGCUGUCAUUGUUCCAGGACUGGAGUUCUGGACCUUAGCCGUACACUGGAAUCAUCUGGAGUGCUUUAAAGACAACAUUCAUUGAAUACCUCUUAACUGAUAAAACUGACAGUCUCAGUCCUGGCUUCAGAUUUGAAUCACCUGGGAAGAUUUAAAAGCACUACCCUGGAGCAACGAAAUCAGACUUUCUGGGGACGGAGCCCAGACGUCAGUAUUUUCAAGAGUUCCCCAGGAGACUGCAAUGAACAGCCCUGGUCAACACCAAACAAAUGAAGAAUUGAUGCAUUCUUUGGAUACUCAAGAAAAAAAGAGAAAUGAUGGUGGACAAACACCUUCUGGAAGAGUGGAAUAGGAAGGCAGCACUUUCCACACUUGCAGAUAGCUCUGCAUUAGAGUAUCACCUAUUCGUGAGAAAUCUAAGGAUGACAAAAAUGAACCAGAAAGGCUUUCUUUGAAAGAAAAACUACCUCAGUAUCAUUAAAAAAAAAAAAUCCUGGGGAGGGGGAGGAAUUCUUUAGUUCCUAAAGGAAAAAUGUUAAAAAAUAUCUUCUCAAAGUCAUCAAUGAAGAGACGGCAUUAUUUGAAGAUAGGAGAGUCAGAAAGAAAAUAUGCUAGUUUUAUAUGCCUUCCUGACGUUCACAGACCAGAGUUUCCAGGGGCUGGAUAAUUCUGCAAAAGUACUCUGGAGUUUCAACAAUGACAUGAUUGUCAUUUUUGUUUUUUAAGAUCACAGUUUUUUUAAACAGAUCAAAAAUUAUUUCAUA